Molecule: ribosomal RNA, 478 nt
Filed under: uncultured bacterium
Lineage: Bacteria
Description: partial 16S ribosomal RNA
Rfam family: Bacterial small subunit ribosomal RNA
Source: RNAcentral
GAUGAACGCUGGCGGCGUGCUUAACACAUGCAAGUCGAACGGGAAACCUUUUAUUGAAGCUUCGGCAGAUUUAGCUGGUUUCUAGUGGCGGACGGGUGAGUAACGCGUGGGUAACCUGCCUUAUACAGGGGGAUAACAGUCAGAAAUGGCUGCUAAUACCGCAUAAGCGCACAGAGCUGCAUGGCUCAGUGUGACAAACUCCGGUGGUAUAAGAUGGACCCGCGUUGGAUUAGCUGGUUGGUGGGGUAACGGCCCACCAAGGCGACGAUCCAUAGCCGGCCUGAGAGGGUGAACGGCCACAUUGGGACUGAGACACGGCCCAGACUCCUACGGGAGGCAGCAGUGGGGAAUAUUGCACAAUGGGGGAAACCCUGAUGCAGCGACGCCGCGUGAAGGAAGAAGUAUCUCGGUAUGUAAACUUCUAUCAGCAGGGAAGAUAAUGACGGUACCUGACUAAGAAGCCCCGGCUAACUACGUG